RNAcentral lists this ribosomal RNA (691 nucleotides) under uncultured Candidatus Paenicardinium sp. RNAcentral describes it as "bacterial SSU rRNA". It matches the Rfam family "Bacterial small subunit ribosomal RNA", at positions 777 to 1478 of the family's 1533-position model. Lineage: Bacteria; Pseudomonadati; Bacteroidota. The record is from RNAcentral.
AUUAGAUACCCGGGUAGUCCACGCCGUAAACGAUGAUCACUCGAUAUACGCGAUACAAUCGUGUGUGUCCAAGCGAAAGCGUUAAGUGACCCACCUGGGGAGUAUACCCGCAAGGGUGAAACUCAAAGGAAUUGACGGGGGUCCGCACAAGCGGUGGAGUAUGUUGUUUAAUUCGUUAAUCCGCGAGGAACCUUACCUGGGCUAGAAUGUAUUUUGCCAUCCCUAGAAAUAGGGAGUUCCGAAAGGACGGAAUACAAGGUGCUGCAUGGCUGUCGUCAGCUCGUGCCGUGAGGUGUUGGGUUAAGUCCUAUAACGAGCGCAACCCUUUUACUUAAUUGCCAGCACGUAAUGGUGGGGACUUUAAGUAGACUGCCCGUGCAAGCGGGAGGAAGGAGAGGACGAGGUCAAGUCAUCAUGGCCUUUAUGCCCAGGGCUACAAACGUACUACAAUGGCAUGUACAAAGGGAAGCUACUUGGCAACAAGAUGCAAAUCUCCAAAGCAUGUCUCAGUUCGGAUUGGGGUCUGCAAUUCGACCUCAUGAAGUUGGAAUCGCUAGUAAUCGCGUAUCAGCAACGGCGCGGUGAAUACGUUCUCGGACCUUGUACACACCGCCCAUCAAGCCAUGGGAGUUGGUAGAACUUAAAGACAGUGGCCGUAAAAGGAGCUGUUUAGAGUUAGACCAGCGACUGG